AGGGUUUGAUUAUGGCUCAGGAUGAACGCUGGCGGCGUGCCUAACACAUGCAAGUCGAACGAAGCAAUUAAAAUGAAGUUUUCGGAUGGAUUUUUGAUUGACUGAGUGGCGGACGGGUGAGUAACGCGUGGAUAACCUGCCUCACACUGGGGGAUAACAGUUAGAAAUGACUGCUAAUACCGCAUAAGCGCACAGUACCGCAUGGUACGGUGUGAAAAACUCCGGUGGUGUGAGAUGGAUCCGCGUCUGAUUAGCCAGUUGGCGGGGUAACGGCCCACCAAAGCGACGAUCAGUAGCCGACCUGAGAGGGUGACCGGCCACAUUGGGACUGAGACACGGCCCAA
RNAcentral lists this ribosomal RNA (344 nucleotides) under uncultured bacterium. RNAcentral describes it as "bacterial SSU rRNA". It matches the Rfam family "Bacterial small subunit ribosomal RNA", at positions 8 to 334 of the family's 1533-position model. The record is from RNAcentral.